GGGCCCGCACAAGUAGUGGAGCAUGUGGUUUAAUUCGAAGAUACGCGCAGAACCUUACCAACACUUGACAUGUUCGUCGCGACUUUAAGAGAUUAAAGUUUUCGGUUCGGCCGGACGAAACACAGGUGCUGCAUGGCUGUCGUCAGCUCGUGUUGUGAGAUGUUGGGUUAAGUCCCGCAACGAGCGCAACCCUUAUCCUUGUUUGCCAGCGAGUAAUGUCGGGAACUCCAGGGAGACUGCCGGUGAUAAACCGGAGGAAGGUGGGGACGACGUCAAGUCAUCAUGGCCCUUACGAGUAGGGCUACACACGUGCUACAAUGGUAGUGACAAUGGGUUAAUCCCAAAAAGCUAUCUCAGUUCGGAUUGUCGUCUGCAACUCGACGGCAUGAAGUCGGAAUCGCUAGUAAUCG
Molecule: ribosomal RNA, 410 nt
Filed under: uncultured bacterium
Lineage: Bacteria
Description: bacterial SSU rRNA
Rfam family: Bacterial small subunit ribosomal RNA
Source: RNAcentral